GUGCUUGCUUUGGCAGCACACAUACUAAAAUUAGAAAGAUACAGAGAAGAUUAGCGUAGUCCUUGCACAAGGAUGAUACGAAAAUUCAUGAAGUGUUCCAGAGUUUU
Small nuclear RNA from Castor canadensis (American beaver), 107 nucleotides. Lineage: Eukaryota; Metazoa; Chordata; Mammalia; Rodentia; Castoridae. The record is from Ensembl.